Molecule: long non-coding RNA, 359 nt
Filed under: Setaria viridis
Lineage: Eukaryota; Viridiplantae; Streptophyta; Magnoliopsida; Poales; Poaceae
Description: long non-coding RNA (SVIR_LNC007027)
Source: RNAcentral
AGACAAUGGCGCAGGACGACGUAGUCUACAUGGAAAGAUAUGAACUAGUUGAGGAUUAGGAAAGUACUCGAAGUAAUUAGAGUAGAACUCCUCUAGUCGUAUCCGACCAGUAUUCUUGUAAAUCAACCAACCAGUAAUCCUAUCCCCAACUAUAUAAGAUGAGGCAGGGACCCCCUCCAAAGCAAUUCAAUCCAACCAACACACAGGAUGUAGGGUAUUACGCUAUUCAGCGCCCGAACAUAUCUAAAUCGUGUGUCUACAUUUACCUUCGAGCUCCUGAUCUCGACGAGCCCCACCAACCAAAACACUACCUCGGGCACCCCCUGGUAAGUUUCGGGGUCUAAACACCUACAGCAGCC